RNAcentral lists this unclassified non-coding RNA (324 nucleotides) under soil metagenome. RNAcentral describes it as "partial contains 5.8S ribosomal RNA, internal transcribed spacer 2, and large subunit ribosomal RNA". The stretch from base 1 to 120 matches the Rfam family "5.8S ribosomal RNA", at positions 35 to 154 of the family's 154-position model. The record is from RNAcentral.
GAUGAAGAACGUAGCGAAAUGCGAUAAGUAGUGUGAAUUGCAGAAUUCAGUGAAUCAUCGAAUCUUUGAACGCACAUUGCGCCCCUUGGUAUUCCAUGGGGCAUGCCUGUUCGAGCGUCAUUUGUACCUUCAAGCCUUGCUUGGUGUUGGGUGUUUGUCCCGAGGGACUCGCCUUAAAGUAAUUGGCAGCCAGUGUUUGGUUUUGAAGCGCAGCACAAGUCGCGAUUCAAGGCUACACGCCCGCUUCCACAAGCCUUUUUUCACUUUUGACCUCGGAUCAGGUAGGGAUACCCGCUGAACUUAAGCAUAUCAAUAAGCGGAGGA